GAUGAACGCUGGCGGCGUGCCUAAUACAUGCAAGUCGAGCGAACAGACGAGGAGCUUGCUCCUCUGACGUUAGCGGCGGACGGGUGAGUAACACGUGGAUAACCUACCUAUAAGACUGGGAUAACUUCGGGAAACCGGAGCUAAUACCGGAUAAUAUAUUGAACCGCAUGGUUCAAUAGUGAAAGACGGUUUUGCUGUCACUUAUAGAUGGAUCCGCGCCGCAUUAGCUAGUUGGUAAGGUAACGGCUUACCAAGGCAACGAUGCGUAGCCGACCUGAGAGGGGGGGAGCCCACACGGGAGGGAGACCAGCGACACGAGUCCGGGGGGAGGGACCAGAGGGCAACCUUGAGCAGGGGGGGAGAGUUGAACAGAAUAGCCCGGAGGGGGGAGCAGAGGUGCCGGGUGCGAAAACAUGGUUUAUGGGGAAAAAACAAAUGUGAAAGUAAAUGUACCGGUUUUGAGGGUAAUUAAUAAAAAAGCCCGGGCAAACUACGUG
RNAcentral lists this ribosomal RNA (497 nucleotides) under uncultured bacterium. RNAcentral describes it as "partial 16S ribosomal RNA". It matches the Rfam family "Bacterial small subunit ribosomal RNA", at positions 28 to 507 of the family's 1533-position model. The record is from RNAcentral.